Molecule: unclassified non-coding RNA, 292 nt
Filed under: Hevea brasiliensis (rubber tree)
Lineage: Eukaryota; Viridiplantae; Streptophyta; Magnoliopsida; Malpighiales; Euphorbiaceae
Source: RNAcentral
CGAAGAAACUUAGACCCUGGAACUUUACGUGUUUGUAAUGGUUCGAGUUUUUAUGGUAAGGAUAUUGUAGUACAGGAUGAUAUUGGUAGGAAGAGGAGUAGGGGAGAGAAUGCUAGGAGUAAUGAGGUUGAUGUGAUCGGUAGGAAUGGGGACGACUUCAGUGAGCGGAUGAGGAAUAGGUUAGAUGUGUUUGAGUUUGACGGAUAUGAUGGGAAUGAUGGAGAAAUGAUGAGGAGGAAGCACUUUGAUGAAGGUGGGAUGGAAGGGAGGAGGUUUUUUGGGUCAAUGAUGG